RNAcentral lists this ribosomal RNA (194 nucleotides) under uncultured bacterium. Its description in RNAcentral is "partial 16S ribosomal RNA". It matches the Rfam family "Bacterial small subunit ribosomal RNA", at positions 339 to 525 of the family's 1533-position model. The record is from RNAcentral.
CUACGGGAGGCAGCAGUGGGGAAUAUUGCACAAUGGGCGCAAGCCUGAUGCAGCCAUGCCGCGUGUGUGAAGAAGGCCUUCGGGUUGUAAAGCAUUUUCAGCGAGGAGGAAGGUGGUGAGCUUAAUACGCUCAUCAAUUGACGUUACUCGCAGAAGAAGCACCGGCUAACUCCGUGCCAGCAGCCGCGGUAAUA